RNAcentral lists this ribosomal RNA (497 nucleotides) under uncultured bacterium. RNAcentral's name for it is "partial 16S ribosomal RNA". It matches the Rfam family "Bacterial small subunit ribosomal RNA", at positions 28 to 507 of the family's 1533-position model. The record is from RNAcentral.
GAUGAACGCUGGCGGCGUGCCUAAUACAUGCAAGUCGAGCGAACAGACGAGGAGCUUGCUCCUCUUACGUUAGCGGCGGACGGGUGAGUAACACGUGGAUAACCUACCUAUAAGACUGGGAUAACGUCGGGAAACCGGAGCUAAUACCGGAUCAUAUAUUGAACCGCAUGGUUCAAUAGUGAAAGACGGUUUUGCUGUCACUUAUAGAUGGAUCCGGGUCGCAUUAGCUAGUUGGUAAGGUAACGGCCUACCAAGGCGACGAUGCGUAGCCGACCUGAGAGGAUGAUCGGCCACACUGGAACUGAGACACGGUCCAGACUCCUACGGGAGGCAGCAGUAGGGAAUCUUCCGCAAUGGGCGAAAGCCUGACGGAGCAACGCCGCGUGUGUGAUGAAGGUCUUCGGAUCGUAAAACUCUGUUAUUAGGGAAGAACAAAUGUGUAAGUAACUAUGCACGUCUUGACGGUACCUAAUCAGAAAGCCACGGCUAACUACGUG